UGAGGCCUGGGGCUUCCAUUUCGGUCCAGCGGGGCUGCGGCUAUUGUUUGUGUAGACGGACUAUUUUGGCCGGUCCCGUCCCCCUCAGAGGCUCCAUAAGUGACGCGGACUCUCGGGAGUACCGAGCCAGAAGCGGACAAGGGCGGGGAGAGCUGUGGCUGAAGAAAGAGUGGCAGAAAAGGGAGGGUGAGGGGCCGAGAAGCGGCUCCGGCUUAGAAAUCUCGAAGACACCGGUGUAGGGACCUGUGAUCACCAAGGCAGGACCGGGAUAGCAAAGGCUCAUGUCCCCAUUUUACAGCUCAGACUCCUCAAAACUCCACCCUUCCCCAAAAGAGGAGCAUAAACAAGGAAGGAAUGUUCACUAUUUUCCUCAAGACUGA
Non-coding RNA from Leptonychotes weddellii (Weddell seal), 380 nucleotides. NCBI's taxonomy places the organism in Eukaryota, Metazoa, Chordata, Mammalia, Carnivora, Phocidae. The record is from RefSeq and is a predicted model, not a curated record.